AUACGAAAGGCGCAAGCGUUGUUCGGAUUUACUGGGCGUAAAGAGAUCGUAGGUGGUUUAUUAAGUCGGAUGUGAAAUCCCGGGGCUCAACCCCGGAACUGCAUUCGAUACUGGUAGACUAGAGUUUGGGAGGGGUAAGCGGAAUUCCGUGUGUAGCAGUGAAAUGCGUAGAUAUACGGAGGAACACCUGAGGCGAAGGCGGCUUACUGGACCAAUACUGACACUGAGGAUCGAAAGCGUGGGUAGCAAACAGGAUUAGAAACCCUUGUAGUCC
Molecule: ribosomal RNA, 274 nt
Filed under: uncultured bacterium
Lineage: Bacteria
Description: partial 16S ribosomal RNA
Rfam family: Bacterial small subunit ribosomal RNA
Source: RNAcentral